This 214-nucleotide long non-coding RNA is filed under the name Elaeis guineensis (African oil palm). Its description in RNAcentral is "long non-coding RNA (EGUI_LNC046287)". The record is from RNAcentral. Lineage: Eukaryota; Viridiplantae; Streptophyta; Magnoliopsida; Arecales; Arecaceae.
GCAGUAUGUAGUGGCCACCCAGUAGAAUGAAAGAAUGAAUCCCUAGGUACAGUUAUCAUAUGAUUUAGAUCUUUUAUCAUGAGUUCUGACUUGACGGAGGUCAUGGAGAACUCAUUAAAUUCCAUCGUCAGUCAUAUGCAAGAUUGACUUGACUCGAGUUCACUUGUGAAUCUCUUGAAAACUCAUUUUUAGUAUUCACACCUGCUUUGGCCAA